RNAcentral lists this ribosomal RNA (734 nucleotides) under uncultured euryarchaeote. RNAcentral describes it as "bacterial SSU rRNA". It matches the Rfam family "Archaeal small subunit ribosomal RNA", at positions 130 to 864 of the family's 1478-position model. The record is from RNAcentral. Lineage: Archaea; Methanobacteriati; Methanobacteriota.
AGCCGGGAACUGUGUCUAAUACUUCAUAAGAGUUUGAAGUUGGAAUACACUUACUCUGAAACAUUAGGCUCAAGGAUAAGACUGCGGCUGAUUAGCUUGUUGGUGGGGUAACUGCCUACCAAGGCGAUGAUCAGUAGGGGCUCUUAGCGGAGUGGCCCCGAGAAGGAAUCUGAGACACUAUUCCUAGCCCUACGGGGUGCAGCAGCUGCGAAUCUUCUACAAUGCACGCAAGUGUGAUAGAGCGAGCCAAAGUGCUUAACUUUUUGUUAAGCUUUUCUUUAGCGUAAAUACCUAGAGGAAUAAGGACUGGGAAAGACCGGUGCCAGCCGCCGCGGUAAUACCGGCAGUUCAAGUCGCAUCCACUUUUAUUGGGUCUAAAACAUCCGUAGCUUGUUUAUUAAGUCUCUUGUGAAAUCCCAUAUCUCAAGUAUGGUGAAGUGCAGGAGAUACUGAUAAGCUUUUGAGAUCGGUAGACGUAAGGAGUACGGAGAAGGUAAUGGUAAAAUAUGUUAAUCUUCUUUGGACUAACAAUUUAGCGAAGGCACCUUACGAGGACGAAUCUGACAGUGAGGGAUGAAGGCCAGGGGCGCAAAACGGAUUAGAUACCCGUGUAGUCCUGGCAGUAAACACUGUACACUAAACAUCGGGCCCUCUUCGGGAGGAUUCGGUGCUGAAGGGAAGCCGAAGAGUGUACUACCUGGGAAGUAUAGUCGCAAGGUCGAAACUUAAAGGAU